UACGUAGGGUGCAAGCGUUGUCCGGAAUUAUUGGGCGUAAAGAGCGUGUAGGCGGCCUCGUAAGUCCGCUGUGAAAGUCCAGGGCUCAACCCUGGAAAGCCGGUGGAUACUGCGAGGCUAGAGUCCGGAAGGGGCGAGUGGAAUUCCUGGUGUAGCGGUGAAAUGCGCAGAUAUCAGGAGGAACACCGAUGGCGAAGGCAGGUCUCUGGGCCACUACUGACGCUGAGAAGCGAAAGCAUGGGGAGCGAACAGG
RNAcentral lists this ribosomal RNA (253 nucleotides) under uncultured bacterium. Its description in RNAcentral is "partial 16S ribosomal RNA". It matches the Rfam family "Bacterial small subunit ribosomal RNA", at positions 524 to 776 of the family's 1533-position model. The record is from RNAcentral.